This 463-nucleotide ribosomal RNA is filed under the name uncultured bacterium. RNAcentral's name for it is "bacterial SSU rRNA". It matches the Rfam family "Bacterial small subunit ribosomal RNA", at positions 30 to 504 of the family's 1533-position model. The record is from RNAcentral.
UGAACGCUGGCGGCGUGCCUAACACAUGCAAGUCGAACGAGAACGGGUUAUAGCUUGCUAUAACUGUCAGCUAAGUGGCGCACGGGUGAGUAAUAUAUAGUUAACCUGCCCCAAAGAAGAGAAUAAUUGUUGGAAACGACUUGUAAUGCUCUAUAUGCCUUUAUCACAUAAGUGAGCAAGGGAAACAUUUAUGGCUUUGGGAUGGGACUGUACGGUAUCAGUUAGUUGGUGAGGUAAUGGCUCACCAAGACUAUGACGCCUAACUGGUUUGAGAGGAUGAUCAGUCACACUGGAACUGAGACACGGUCCAGACUCCUACGGGAGGCAGCAGUGGGGAAUAUUGCACAAUGGAGGAAACUCUGAUGCAGCAACGCCGCGUGGAGGAUGACACAUUUCGGUGCGUAAACUCCUUUUAUAUGAGAAGAUAAUGACGGUAUCAUAUGAAUAAGCACCGGCUAACUCC